CAAGGACUCACCCAGGUGAUCCCAAGGCAGGUAUUGGAAGCAGGCUCCUGUUUGCUCAGUGACUGGGUGCAUUCCCAUUGCUAGUUGGGCCAACGCACUGUCCUGGCUCCUGCUCCAGCCUUACCUCUUUCCGCUGGCCGCCUGGCAACACUGAAACAUCUGAUCCUGCAGAAAUUACUGCCCAUGGUCACUCUCGGCAGACCCUCCCUACUGAAUCGCCAGCACAGUGACCCUGCAUUUUCUUCACAGGUUUCCCAGCCAAGUACUGCCCAGGUCUGGUUCGGUUCAGCUUGCAAGCUCUGAACGGAGCAUGGCUCAGGGUACCACAGCAGCCCCCCUUUGUUUAUCUGGACUUGCAGCAAACAGGGCUGUCUAGGAGCAUCCGUCUGGAGUUACUAACAGCUCGGACAGUUGGGACGGAUUCAUUGCCAUUACCUGGAUGCCUCUUUCGCCCUUCCUUCCAGGGGCUCCACGCUCGGGGCUGCUUCUCCCAGGAUUUCCCUGUGGAGCACGGAGUCAGAGGGGUGUUGCCGGGGGAUCCUGGAGGCCCUGCGAUGCCACGGAGACCCCGGGAGCCUUUCCGCCCCUGGAUCAAGGCAGGAAGAAGAGAUUAGCAGCGCGGAGCCAGCAGGGGAGAACGUCAGAAGGGUCGGGAAGUGCAGGAGGCUAUUGCUGAGUCCACAUUGCCGGGGCACCCGCUUGAAGAUAUGACCACUGGUCGCCAGGAAGUUGUGUGAUCCACCCACAUACCUUGCACCUGCAGAGCGGCUGACAUCUCCUCCAGCUUCUUCACAUCAUCGUCCAACCCGUCCGUAAACAGGAGCAGCACCUGGGGCACAGACACGUUUGGGGCCCAUCAGCCUACAGGCCGCCGCGGAGGAAGCAGGAUCCAGGGCAGAGAUAGCUGGGGUCCCCCAGCCUGGGAGCACACAACACUACCCAGUGGCAGCAAAGCUGCUCUUAUUCUGCCCAAGCCAGAUGCACCUGCUGUGCUGACACCAAAUGCCCCAGGUACCACUGACCCGGGCAGCCAAACAACCCAGGUGAAACCUCUGCUGAGCUCCUGGGAGCCUUCCCCUUUGAAAAAGCGGUGGAACAAUGGGAGCUGAGCAGGGAGCUGGCAGCGAGGGGGUUAAAUGGCCAGAGCCAACCGAGGAAGGGAGCCCGCUGAGCGAGCGUCCUUGCCCUGCAGGAUGUGCCCAUGCAGAGCUGUUGGGCCAGCUGCGGCUCUACCUUGUUACUCUCUGGCAGGCGUUGGCUCAUCUCCAGGUGGCUGCGCAGGGAGGGCUGGUUCAGGUAGGAGCGCCUGAAGGUGUGCGCCACGCGCAGCUGCUGCAAGGUGUCAUGCUGGUACUUGGCGAGGCGGGCUCGGAAUAGGACCUCGCCGCCCUUGUCCACGCUCUGGAUGCUCAGGGUGAGGUUGAGCUGGGCGCAGCUGACCCUGCUCAGGGAGAACAGCUCCCGGAUGGUGCCCUCCAGGUACUGGUGCAGGCUGGACUGUUGGUAAUCAGUGACGUCCAGGCCGAUGAGCAGGUGCAGGGGGCACAGUCCUGCAGGGCAGAACACGGAGACUGAGCCGGCUCCCUGCCUCCUCUCACUCACCACCACCACCCCCUCCACAUCUCCACAGCAGCCCACGGGGUGCGGAAUCUGUUUCCCUCCCACCCUCGCCCAGGGACUCGUGUGCCAAGGUCUCGCCGACCUGCCCAUGGUGUUCAACGGCUUCUCAGGACUCACCCCUGCGUCGGGACCAUUCAGGGCACGUCUGCGCCGCAGCCGGGAGCGUGCCUCCAGCCCAGGCAGACAGACUCAUGCUACAAAUAGCAGUGUGGACGCUGCCGUGCCAGCAGAGGCUCAGCUAGCCCGCCGAGCUCAGAGCUAGCGGAAACACGUUUGGGUGCAUUUUAUUCCUCUGCUAAUGGGUGUCAGUUUCCAAUCAUUGUGCAAUGGAUUUGAUGCUGCGGUCUGGGGUGAGGGGACACAGUACAGGGAGAUUUACCCCGAAGGACAUCUGAAAUGUAUGUAAGUGUACAAAAAUGACUUUUCCAUACACAUCUCAUGUUCCUUGGUCCUUUCUCAAGCUGUAUGGAUGCAAAUGCAACCCUUCACUAGCUCACAUGUGUCUUUUGCUUCAAUGUUGCAGUGAGCUAAUAAAUACUAAUAAUGCUUUGAAUUUAUAUAGCAUCUUUCAGUGGAGAAUCUCAACAUGCUUUCCCAACGUGGUUAAGUAGCUUCUUUAAAAAAGCCUCAUUUAAAAGAUAGGAAAAUGGAUGUACAGAGGUUAAGAUUCAGUUGAGAAUAGAACCCAGGACUCCUGGCUCCUAGUCCCUGGUCUGACCACUAGACCAUUCCCUCCCAGAGCUCGGAGUAGAACCCAGGAGUCCGGACUCCCAGCCUCUUGCCCUAACUGCUAGACCAUCCUACCUCCGUCUUUACUGCACAACCGUCACUUUGUAGAUUGAACACCUUAACAUCACUGAAGGAUCAAAGCGAAAGAGAACCUUG
Chelonia mydas (Green sea turtle) is the source of this 2505-nucleotide long non-coding RNA. RefSeq lists it as uncharacterized. Lineage: Eukaryota; Metazoa; Chordata; Testudines; Cheloniidae. The record is from RefSeq and is a predicted model, not a curated record. The transcript has 4 exons.